AGCCCGGUAGUGUAGUGGACAAAGAGAUUAACCGUUCAAGCAUAGCGGGCUUUGGACCCGUAGACGGGAGUUCGAAUCUCCCCCGGGCUACCA
This 93-nucleotide transfer RNA is filed under the name Candidatus Bathyarchaeota archaeon RBG_13_38_9. RNAcentral's name for it is "tRNA-Gln". It matches the Rfam family "tRNA". Rfam says of the family: Transfer RNA (tRNA) molecules are approximately 80 nucleotides in length. Their secondary structure includes four short double-helical elements and three loops (D, anti-codon, and T loops). Lineage: Archaea; Thermoproteati; Candidatus Bathyarchaeota. The record is from RNAcentral.